Molecule: long non-coding RNA, 500 nt
Organism: Sinocyclocheilus anshuiensis
Lineage: Eukaryota; Metazoa; Chordata; Actinopteri; Cypriniformes; Cyprinidae
Exons: 4
Source: RefSeq, a predicted model, not a curated record
UCAACUUUCAAGAAGCGGUUUCUUGUCAAGAGCAACCAUGAAACAAGCAGGCAGAAACACAACGCAGGCAUGAGACAUUUCAGGCGAGAGAGCCACAUCUGAGCCGAAAAGCUGGGAGGCUGAUGACAAGAGAGCUGGUGUUGACAAGGAGCACUUCCUGGCCACAGACGAUCAAUUCCCCUAUCAGAGGCGUUCUUCAGACAGAAUAGGUUUGGAAUGUGAAAGGAAACGCAAGUGCCGAACAGCCACGGGAUAUGGGCAGGACCAGUCAAUCAUCAUCAAAAGUGAGGGGCGGUACUAGGAAUGUGGGGAACUUCCACACUUCCUCACAAAUGAAUUUAAAAUUUCCAGCAGCAAUGAGGCUUAUCGGAAAGAUAAAGGCAGCAGGAAACCGUGGCCUCAGGAUGGAGAGUGUGGAUGGAGUACAUCAUUUGUUCAGAGAGAACGAGAGAGAGAAAGACAAGUGCAGAAGAGGAGCACUGAGGAAAGAGAAAGGUGGA